AUACCAUGGUGCAGACACUUUCUCAACAACUCCUUGAAUCUUUCCCAAGCUUCACUAGUGGACUCAUCUUCCAAUUGCUGAAAAGACAUAAUCUCACUUCGAAACUU
Humulus lupulus (European hop) is the source of this 107-nucleotide small nucleolar RNA. The record is from RefSeq and is a predicted model, not a curated record. NCBI's taxonomy places the organism in Eukaryota, Viridiplantae, Streptophyta, Magnoliopsida, Rosales, Cannabaceae.